ACGGGAGGCAGCAGUGGGGAAUAUUGCACAAUGGGGGAAACCCUGAUGCAGCGAUGCCGCGUGGAGGAAGAAGGUUUUCGGAUUGUAAACUCCUGUCUUAAAGGACGAUAAUGACGGUACUUUAGGAGGAAGCUCCGGCUAACUACGUGCCAGCAGCCGCGGUAAUACGUAGGGAGCGAGCGUUGUCCGGAAUUACUGGGUGUAAAGGGAGUGUAGGCGGGAUUGCAAGUCAGAUGUGAAAUAUACGGGCUCAACCUGUAGACUGCAUUUGAAACUGUAGUUCUUGAGUGAAGUAGAGGCAAGCGGAAUUCCUGGUGUAGCGGUGAAAUGCGUAGAUAUCAGGAGGAACACCGGUGGCGAAGGCGGCUUGCUGGGCUUUUACUGACGCUGAGGCUCGAAAGCGUGGGGAGCAAACAGGAUUAGAUACCCUGGUA
RNAcentral lists this ribosomal RNA (434 nucleotides) under uncultured Ruminococcus sp. Its description in RNAcentral is "partial 16S ribosomal RNA". It matches the Rfam family "Bacterial small subunit ribosomal RNA", at positions 341 to 792 of the family's 1533-position model. The record is from RNAcentral. Lineage: Bacteria; Bacillati; Bacillota; Clostridia; Eubacteriales; Oscillospiraceae.